AGCAGCCGCGGUAAUUCCAGCUCCAAUAGCGUAUAUUAAAGUUGUUGCAGUUAAAAAGCUCGUAGUUGAAUUUCGGGAUUAAUAUGUUGGUCGUGCCUUGGUACGUACUGGCAUUAUUGAUUCCUACCUUCUGAAGAACCUCGAUGUCAUUAAUUUGGUGUCUUGGGGAAUCAGGACCGUUACUUUGAAAAAUUAGAGUGUUUAAAGCAGGCUCGCGCUUGAAUACAUUAGCAUGGAAUAAUGAAAUAGGACGUUUGAUUCUAUUUUGUUGGUUUCUAGGAUCGACGUAAUGAUUAAUAGGGAUAGUUGGGGGCAUUAGUAUUCAAUUGUCAGAGGUGAAAUUCUUGGAUUUAUUGAAGACUGGCUACUGCGAAAGCAUUUGCCAAGGAUGUUUUCAUUAAUCAAAGAACGAAAGUUAGGGGAUCGAAGACGAUCAGAUACCGUGUAGUCUUAACCAUAAACUAUGCCGAUAGGGAUCGGAUGAUGUUUAAUUUUUAUGUACUCAUUCGCGACCUUAAC
This 519-nucleotide ribosomal RNA is filed under the name uncultured Glomus. Its description in RNAcentral is "SSU rRNA". It matches the Rfam family "Eukaryotic small subunit ribosomal RNA", at positions 569 to 1092 of the family's 1831-position model. The record is from RNAcentral. Lineage: Eukaryota; Fungi; Glomeromycota; Glomeromycetes; Glomerales; Glomeraceae.